AAUAUUGGACAAUGGGGGCAACCCUGAUCCAGCCAUGCCGCGUGUGUGAAGAAGGUCCUCGGAAUGUCAAGCACUUUAAGUUGGGAGGAAGGGUUGUAGAUUAAUACUCUGCAAUUUUGACGUUACCAACAGAAUAAGCACCGGCUACCUUCGUGCCAGCAGCCGCGGUAAUACGAAGGGUGCAAGCGUUAAUCGGAAAUACUGGGCGUAAAGCGCGCGUAGGUGGUUCAGUAAGAUGGGUGUGAAAUCCCCGGGCUUAACCUGGGAACUGCUUUCAUAACUGCUGAGCUAGAGUACGGUAGAGGGUAGUGGAAUUUCCUGUGUAGCGGUGAAAUGCGUAGAUAAAGGAAGGAACACCAGUGGCGAAGGCGACUACCUGGACUGAUACUGACACUGAGGUGCGAAAGCGUGGGGAGCAAAC
RNAcentral lists this ribosomal RNA (421 nucleotides) under uncultured bacterium. RNAcentral's name for it is "partial 16S ribosomal RNA". It matches the Rfam family "Bacterial small subunit ribosomal RNA", at positions 360 to 773 of the family's 1533-position model. The record is from RNAcentral.